RNAcentral lists this ribosomal RNA (1308 nucleotides) under Pseudarthrobacter sp. RNAcentral's name for it is "bacterial SSU rRNA". Lineage: Bacteria; Bacillati; Actinomycetota; Actinomycetes; Micrococcales; Micrococcaceae. The record is from RNAcentral.
GAACUCGUCGGGUUAGCAGUUCCCGAGCAUAUAUGGCGAGGGGAGUACAGUAAGAACGGCCUUAACUCUGGGUAGCUUGGAACUGGUCUAAACCGAUAUGACUCCUCACGCAGGGGGGGGUGUUUUGGAUGGACUCGCGGCCUAUCAGCUUGUUGGUGRGGUAAUGGCYUACCAAGGCGACGACGGGUAGCCGGCCUGAGAGGGUGACCGGCCACACUGGGACUGAGACACGGCCCAGACUCCUACGGGAGGCAGCAGUGGGGAAUAUUGCACAAUGGGCGCAAGCCUGAUGCAGCGACGCCGCGUGAGGGAUGACGGCCUUCGGGUUGUAAACCUCUUUCAGUAGGGAAGAAGCGWAAGUGACGGUACCUGCAGAAGAAGCGCCGGCUAACUACGUGCCAGCAGCCGCGGUAAUACGUAGGGCGCAAGCGUUAUCCGGAAUUAUUGGGCGUAAAGAGCUCGUAGGCGGUUUGUCGCGUCUGCCGUGAAAGUCCGGGGCUCAACUCCGGAUCUGCGGUGGGUACGGGCAGACUAGAGUGAUGUAGGGGAGACUGGAAUUCCUGGUGUAGCGGUGAAAUGCGCAGAUAUCAGGAGGAACACCGAUGGCGAAGGCAGGUCUCUGGGCAUUAACUGACGCUGAGGAGCGAAAGCAUGGGGAGCGAACAGGAUUAGAUACCCUGGUAGUCCAUGCCGUAAACGUUGGGCACUAGGUGUGGGGGACAUUCCACGUUUUCCGCGCCGUAGCUAACGCAUUAAGUGCCCCGCCUGGGGAGUACGGCCGCAAGGCUAAAACUCAAAGGAAUUGACGGGGGCCCGCACAAGCGGCGGAGCAUGCGGAUUAAUUCGAUGCAACGCGAAGAACCUUACCAAGGCUUGACGUGAACCGGAAAGACCUGGAAACAGGUCCCCGCUUGUGGUCGGUUUACAGGUGGUGCAUGGUUGUCGUCAGCUCGUGUCGUGAGAUGUUGGGUUAAGUCCCGCAACGAGCGCAACCCUCGUUCUAUGUUGCCAGCACGUGAUGGUGGGGACUCAUAGGAGACUGCCGGGGUCAACUCGGAGGAAGGUGGGGACGAGUCAAAUCAUCAUGCCCCUUAUGUCUUGGGCUUCACGCAUGCUACAAUGGCCGGUACAAAGGGUUGCGAUACUGUGAGGUGGAGCUAAUCCCAAAAAGCCGGUCUCAGUUCGGAUUGGGGUCUGCAACUCGACCCCAUGAAGUCGGAGUCGCUAGUAAUCGCAGAUCAGCAACGCUGCGGUGAAUACGUUCCCGGGCCUUGUACACACCGCCCGUCAAGUCACGAAAGUUGGUAA